AAGUCUCGCUUUUUUCCAAACACUAAGACCCAUCAACGGUCGUUCGUCUUGCCGUGGCACGCACACCAGUCACAAUGUCGAAGCUUCUGAUCAUGUUUCUUCUGCUGUGUUUGGUGGCUGUCAGCCAAGCUGUCAGCCCCAUGUUGCUGUACUUUCUGUUUAACCAGAGUGGCAUGGACAUGAAGAACAUGAUGCCUCUUUUCCUGUACUACUCCAGGAUGCAGCAGAGCUCUGCAGCUGGGGGAACCGGCGCCUUCAUAUAAAAUACUUUAGUUUUGUCCUCGCACAGUAAUCACAGUUCAUUUUGUACACCAAAAAUACCAUGAUAUUUUCAUUUUUGUUUUGUUAUAUCUUCGUAUUGGAGGAAAAAAUAGAGGCCAUGUCGAAUUUAUGUCGAUUUGAUUUCUAAGGGCAAUUCUAAUAAAAAAAGGUUUUCAUCAUG
Long non-coding RNA from Aplysia californica (California sea hare), 442 nucleotides. RefSeq lists it as uncharacterized. Lineage: Eukaryota; Metazoa; Mollusca; Gastropoda; Aplysiida; Aplysiidae. The record is from RefSeq and is a predicted model, not a curated record. The transcript has 3 exons.